CCGGAGCUCCCAGGGGCACUCUGGGCGGCCAGUGUCCACCCGGAUGCCGGGGACAUUCGUCUUUUUGAAUUGAGAAUGCACCCCUGAACUUGAACAAGACCAGGACACCUGGCUCUGGGCCUGCCGUGUGAGGAGGACGAAGGGCAGGCUCCCCAGCUCGGGUGUCCUCUGCUGUCCACAGGGAAGCCCGUGAACUUGAGCUUAGUGGAGGCUGAACUUGAACCUGAGGAGGCUGCCACGUUUUGUGGGAAAACACCAGAUCGAAAAUAUACAAGCCCUCCAAGGGGUCAGCCACUGGACACCGAGGCCCGAACUGAGCUUUCGGUGUCCCGCCCACGGAACCCGGCCGGACGGGAGGCGCAGAGGCCCUUGCACCAGGAAAGGACAGGAAGGGGGGAGUGGCCACGCGCCCGGACCCGGCGACUUCACGGAGACCUGUGCUCUGGACAGAGCUCCGCCCACGGAGCUCCGCCCACAGGAGAGAAAUGGUCCUCAACCGCCGGCGCUCUGUGCACAAGGGAGUGAAGGCGAUGACCAGCCGCCGUGGAGGUCGGAGCCGCCAGACCGCCCUUGAGGCGGGGCGUGUCCCCCGGGGUGGGCCUGACCCCUCGUGUCUGCAGGUGACGUCCCUCCGAGGGGGACCGGUGUUCGGACCGCUGUCGGUUUUUAGAGCAGGAGGCGGGGGAGGGGAGGGAAACGCCCGUCAGCUGCCUCUCGAAAGCCUUCCCGGGACCGGCCUGCAGCCCAGGCAGGUGCCCUGACCGGGAGUCGAACCAGCGACUCCUGGGUUUGCAGCCCGUGCUCCAGGCACUGAGCCCCACCAGCCAGGGCUGUUUGUUUUAAGUCACUGCACUUUUCUUUCUACUGGAUGGGAAAUGAGCUUCCCAUUCCGGGGACCCCGGGUUCUUCACAGGCUCCUUCUACAGCACCGACGCCUCCUUCAGAAUCGAGUCUUCCAUUCUCAGGCGCUCCCUUUAAAGUGCCUGGCUGUGCCCGGCAGCCGCUGCUGCUCUCACCACUGACCGUCUUCCUUAGACGCCCAGACUAGCCAGUCUCCCCGGCCUCCCGCGGCGGUUUCAGCACCUGCCGACGACCGGCCCCAGGGCCACGGGGGCAAGUGCCGGCCGCUCCUCUGCCCCCACCUGGCACCCGCCCUGCUCACGUCACACCCCGACCCCCCGGGCACAGGGACCUCGCGCUCUGAUGGGAACACGGACGUGCACAGCAGCACCAACACGGGAGGAGACGGGCGAGCGACUGAAGCGGUGCUGCCGCCACGCGGUCACGCCCCAGAAGGAACAGUGAGCCGCGAGAACAAGAGGAGCUGAUGCGGUGGACACGGGCCACCGUCACACGUCCCCUUCUCCGGG
This is a long non-coding RNA of Artibeus jamaicensis (Jamaican fruit-eating bat), 1370 nucleotides long. RefSeq lists it as uncharacterized. Lineage: Eukaryota; Metazoa; Chordata; Mammalia; Chiroptera; Phyllostomidae. The transcript has 6 exons. The record is from RefSeq and is a predicted model, not a curated record.